AUACGUAGGUGACAAGCGUUAUCCGGAAUUACUGGGCGUAAAGGGCGUGUAGGCGGUCUUGCAAGUCAGAAGUGAAAUUCCUGAGCUCAACUCGGGCGCUGCUUCUGAAACUGCAGGACUUGAGUGCUGGAGGGGAUAGCGGAAUUCCUAGUGGAGCGGUAAAAUGCGCAGAUAUUAGGAAGAACACCGGGGGCGAAGGCGGCUACCUGGGCGUAAACUGACGCUGUGGUGCGCAAGCGCGGGGGGCAAACAGAAUUAGAUACCCUGGGGUUACACGCCGUAAACGAUGAAUACUAUGGGUAGUGGGUAUCGACUCCCUCUGUGCCGCAGUUAACACAAUAAGUAUUCCGCCUGGGGAGUACGGCCGCAAGGUUGAAACUUAAAGGAAUUGACGGGG
RNAcentral lists this ribosomal RNA (397 nucleotides) under uncultured bacterium. RNAcentral's name for it is "partial 16S ribosomal RNA". It matches the Rfam family "Bacterial small subunit ribosomal RNA", at positions 523 to 918 of the family's 1533-position model. The record is from RNAcentral.